RNAcentral lists this ribosomal RNA (1461 nucleotides) under Staphylococcus aureus. RNAcentral describes it as "16S ribosomal RNA". It matches the Rfam family "Bacterial small subunit ribosomal RNA". The record is from RNAcentral. Lineage: Bacteria; Bacillati; Bacillota; Bacilli; Caryophanales; Staphylococcaceae.
GCCUAAUACAUGCAAGUCGAGCGAACGGACGAGAAGCUUGCUUCUCUGAUGUUAGCGGCGGACGGGUGAGUAACACGUGGAUAACCUACCUAUAAGACUGGGAUAACUUCGGGAAACCGGAGCUAAUACCGGAUAAUAUUUUGAACCGCAUGGUUCAAAAGUGAAAGACGGUCUUGCUGUCACUUAUAGAUGGAUCCGCGCUGCAUUAGCUAGUUGGUAAGGUAACGGCUUACCAAGGCAACGAUGCAUAGCCGACCUGAGAGGGUGAUCGGCCACACUGGAACUGAGACACGGUCCAGACUCCUACGGGAGGCAGCAGUAGGGAAUCUUCCGCAAUGGGCGAAAGCCUGACGGAGCAACGCCGCGUGAGUGAUGAAGGUCUUCGGAUCGUAAAACUCUGUUAUUAGGGAAGAACAUAUGUGUAAGUAACUGUGCACAUCUUGACGGUACCUAAUCAGAAAGCCACGGCUAACUACGUGCCAGCAGCCGCGGUAAUACGUAGGUGGCAAGCGUUAUCCGGAAUUAUUGGGCGUAAAGCGCGCGUAGGCGGUUUUUUAAGUCUGAUGUGAAAGCCCACGGCUCAACCGUGGAGGGUCAUUGGAAACUGGAAAACUUGAGUGCAGAAGAAGAAAGUGGAAUUCCAUGUGUAGCGGUGAAAUGCGCAGAGAUAUGGAGGAACACCAGUGGCGAAGGCGACUUUCUGGUCUGUAACUGACGCUGAUGUGCGAAAGCGUGGGGAUCAAACAGGAUUAGAUACCCUGGUAGUCCACGCCGUAAACGAUGAGUGCUAAGUGUUAGGGGGUUUCCGCCCCUUAGUGCUGCAGCUAACGCAUUAAGCACUCCGCCUGGGGAGUACGACCGCAAGGUUGAAACUCAAAGGAAUUGACGGGGACCCGCACAAGCGGUGGAGCAUGUGGUUUAAUUCGAAGCAACGCGAAGAACCUUACCAAAUCUUGACAUCCUUUGACAACUCUAGAGAUAGAGCCUUCCCCUUCGGGGGACAAAGUGACAGGUGGUGCAUGGUUGUCGUCAGCUCGUGUCGUGAGAUGUUGGGUUAAGUCCCGCAACGAGCGCAACCCUUAAGCUUAGUUGCCAUCAUUAAGUUGGGCACUCUAAGUUGACUGCCGGUGACAAACCGGAGGAAGGUGGGGAUGACGUCAAAUCAUCAUGCCCCUUAUGAUUUGGGCUACACACGUGCUACAAUGGACAAUACAAAGGGCAGCGAAACCGCGAGGUCAAGCAAAUCCCAUAAAGUUGUUCUCAGUUCGGAUUGUAGUCUGCAACUCGACUACAUGAAGCUGGAAUCGCUAGUAAUCGUAGAUCAGCAUGCUACGGUGAAUACGUUCCCGGGUCUUGUACACACCGCCCGUCACACCACGAGAGUUUGUAACACCCGAAGCCGGUGGAGUAACCUUUUAGGAGCUAGCCGUCGAAGGUGGGACAAAUGAUUGGGGUGAAGUC